This 669-nucleotide ribosomal RNA is filed under the name Lactiplantibacillus plantarum. RNAcentral describes it as "bacterial SSU rRNA". It matches the Rfam family "Bacterial small subunit ribosomal RNA", at positions 341 to 1000 of the family's 1533-position model. The record is from RNAcentral. Lineage: Bacteria; Bacillati; Bacillota; Bacilli; Lactobacillales; Lactobacillaceae.
ACGGGAGGCAGCAGUAGGGAAUCUUCCACAAUGGACGAAAGUCUGAUGGAGCAACGCCGCGUGAGUGAAGAAGGGUUUCGGCUCGUAAAACUCUGUUGUUAAAGAAGAACAUAUCUGAGAGUAACUGUUCAGGUAUUGACGGUAUUUAACCAGAAAGCCACGGCUAACUACGUGCCAGCAGCCGCGGUAAUACGUAGGUGGCAAGCGUUGUCCGGAUUUAUUGGGCGUAAAGCGAGCGCAGGCGGUUUUUUAAGUCUGAUGUGAAAGCCUUCGGCUCAACCGAAGAAGUGCAUCGGAAACUGGGAAACUUGAGUGCAGAAGAGGACAGUGGAACUCCAUGUGUAGCGGUGAAAUGCGUAGAUAUAUGGAAGAACACCAGUGGCGAAGGCGGCUGUCUGGUCUGUAACUGACGCUGAGGCUCGAAAGUAUGGGUAGCAAACAGGAUUAGAUACCCUGGUAGUCCAUACCGUAAACGAUGAAUGCUAAGUGUUGGAGGGUUUCCGCCCUUCAGUGCUGCAGCUAACGCAUUAAGCAUUCCGCCUGGGGAGUACGGNCGCAAGGCUGAAACUCAAAGGAAUUGACGGGGGCCCCGCACAAGCGGUGGANCAUGUGGNUUAAUUCGAAGCUACGCGAAGAANCUUACCNGGUCNUGACAUACUAUGCAAAUCU